AAGACUCUGCGCUUAACUGGCGGAGAAUACGACUCUUGCGGUCUAGCCGGGCCACUCGAUCCGCCCUGCUCACCCUCCUCCAGCCGUCGACGGUGGACGCCGCCGCCUCUAGUUCGCUUGGUGCAGGUCGGGGCCGCCCGGAUCCGCCCACGGACGGGCCGGAUCCCGCCUUGCACCAACUGAAUCGGAGCCGGAGGGCGACCAUCUAUCUCGACCUUCCGCGGCUCCGCGUCGCGGGAUCUCCUCUCCCGAAAGAUCCAAUCGCGAGUCUUUUCUUUGCUUACCGUAUGCUUUCUUUCUGUUCCUCGUGCCGAU
Molecule: long non-coding RNA, 315 nt
Filed under: Musa acuminata (dwarf banana)
Lineage: Eukaryota; Viridiplantae; Streptophyta; Magnoliopsida; Zingiberales; Musaceae
Description: long non-coding RNA (MACU_LNC004066)
Rfam family: MIR168 microRNA precursor family (bases 96-202)
Source: RNAcentral